CAGAGUUCAUGCCCUCACGGGUAGAUCUCCCACCCUUGAUAUUUAUACCAUUGUUGCUUUGGCGAGCCGCGGCUCUCCGCUACCGGCUCCGGCUGGUAUGUGCUCGCCAGAGAACCCAACUCUUGUUUUUAGUGAUGUCUGAGUACUAUAUAAUAGUUA
This 159-nucleotide unclassified non-coding RNA is filed under the name uncultured Ascomycota. RNAcentral describes it as "sequence contains ITS1". Lineage: Eukaryota; Fungi; Ascomycota. The record is from RNAcentral.